CUUUGACCGCAAGGUCAAAGGGAGCGGCGGACGGCUGAGUAACACGUAAGAAUCUGCCCCUUUCUAGGGAAUAGCUCACCGAAAGGUGAGGUAAUACCCUAUAAUACCUCCGGGUUAAAGGACGUAACUGUUUGGAAAGGGAUGAGCUUGCGGCCUAUCAGGUUGUUGGUGGGGUAACGGCCUACCAAGCCAAUGACGGGUAGCUAAUCUGAGAGGAUGGUUAGCCAGAGGGGGACUGCGACACGGCCCCC
RNAcentral lists this ribosomal RNA (251 nucleotides) under uncultured bacterium. Its description in RNAcentral is "partial 16S ribosomal RNA". It matches the Rfam family "Bacterial small subunit ribosomal RNA", at positions 71 to 334 of the family's 1533-position model. The record is from RNAcentral.